GAGUUUGAUCCUGGCUCAGAUUGAACGCUGGCGGCAUGCCUUACACAUGCAAGUCGAACGGUAACAGGUCUUCGGACGCUGACGAUUGGUGAACGGGUGAGUGAUACAUCGAAACGUGCCCAGUCCUGGGGGAUAACUACUCGAAAGAGUAGCUAAUACCGCAUACUAUCUGAUGAUGACAGCGGUGGAUCUUCGGGCCUCUCGCGAUUGGAGCGGCCGAUGGCAGAUUAGGUAUUUGGUGGGAUAAAAUCUUACCAAUCCGACGAUCUGUAGCUGGUCUGACAAGACAACCAACCACACUGGGACUGAGUACACGGCCCACACUCCUACGGGAAGCAGCACCGGGGAAUUAUGGACAGUGGGCGAAAGCCUGAUCCAGCAAUGCCGCGUGCAGGAUGAAGGCCUUCGCGUUGUAAAGUGCUUUUGUACGGAACGAAAAAGCUCUCUCCUAAUACGAGAGGCCCAUGACGGUACCGUAAGAAUAACCACCGGCUAUCUACGUGCCAGCACCCGCGGAUAAUACGUAGGGUGCGAGCGUCACUCAGAAUUACUGUGCGUAAAGCGUGCGCAUGCGGUUAUGUAACACAGAUGUGAAAUCCCCGGGCUCAACCUGGGAACUGCAUGAGUGACUGCAUGGCUAGAGUACGGUAGAGGGGGAUGGAACUCCGCGUGUAGCAGUGAUAUGCGUAGAUAUGCGGAGGAACACCGAUGGCGAAGGCAAUCCCGUGGACCUGUACUGACGCUCAUGCACGAAAGCGUGGGGCGCACACAGGAUUAGACACUGUGGUAGUCCACGCCCUACACGAUGUCAACUGGUUGUUGGGACUUAGUUUUCUCAGUACCGAAGCUAACGCGUGAAGUUGACCGCCUGGGGAGUACGUCCGCAAGGUUGAAACUCAAAGGAAUUGACGGGGACCCGCACAAGCGGUGGAUGAUGUGGUUUAAUUCGAUGCAACGCGAAAAACCUUACCCACCUUUGACAUGCCAGGAACUUCCCAGAGAUGGAUUCGUGCUCGAAAGAGAACCUGCACACAGGUGCUGCAUGGCCGUCGUCAGCUCUUGUCGUGAGAUGCCGCGUUAAGUCCCGCAACGAGCGCCACCCUUGUCAUUAGUCGACACAUUCAGUUGGGCACUCUAGAUGAGACUGCCGGUGACAAACCGGAGGAAGGUGGGGAUGACGUCAAGUCAUCAUGCCCCUUAUAGGCGGGGCUACACACGUCAUACAAUGGCUGGUACAGAGGGUAGCCAACCCGCGAGGGGGAGCUAAUCCCAUACCACCCGUCGUAGUCCGGAUCGCAGUCUGCAACUCGACUGCGUGAAGUCGGAAUCGCUAGUAAUCGCGGAUCAGCAUGCCGCGGUGAAUACGUUCCCGGGUCUUGUACACACCGCCCGUC
This 1394-nucleotide ribosomal RNA is filed under the name uncultured bacterium. RNAcentral's name for it is "16S ribosomal RNA". It matches the Rfam family "Bacterial small subunit ribosomal RNA". The record is from RNAcentral.